Molecule: ribosomal RNA, 298 nt
Filed under: uncultured bacterium
Lineage: Bacteria
Description: partial 16S ribosomal RNA
Rfam family: Bacterial small subunit ribosomal RNA
Source: RNAcentral
UGAACCUACGGGAGGCAGCAGUGGGGAAUAUUGCACAAUGGGGGAAACCCUGAUGCAGCAACGCCGCGUGAAGGAAGACGGUUUUCGGAUUGUAAACUUCUGUUCUUAGUGAAGAAAAAUGACGGUAGCUAAGGAGCAAGCCACGGCUAACUACGUGCCAGCAGCCGCGGUAAUACGUAGGUGGCAAGCGUUGUCCGGAAUUACUGGGUGUAAAGGUAGCGCAGGCGGGAAGCCAAGUCAGCUGUGAAAACUACGGGCUUAACUUGUAGACUGCCGUUGAAACUGGGUUUCUUUAGUG